AUUGUGUGAUGAAUAGCCAUGCUAAUACCGAGAAAGUUACAGACUUUCACUGAGUUAAUUUCAAACAAAAAUAUCUGAUAUUA
Small nucleolar RNA from Pararge aegeria (speckled wood butterfly), 83 nucleotides. The record is from RefSeq and is a predicted model, not a curated record. NCBI's taxonomy places the organism in Eukaryota, Metazoa, Arthropoda, Insecta, Lepidoptera, Nymphalidae.